UUAAGCGACUAAGCGUACACGGUGGAUGCCCUGGCAGUCAGAGGCGAUGAAGGACGUGCUAAUCUGCGAAAAGCGUCGGUAAGGUGAUAUGAACCGUUAUAACCGGCGAUGUCCGAAUGGGGAAACCCAGUGCAAUUCGUUGCACUAUCGUUAACUGAAUACAUAGGUUAACGAGGCGAACCGGGGGAACUGAAACAUCUAAGUACCCCGAGGAAAAGAAAUCAACCGAGAUUCCCCCAGUAGCGGCGAGCGAACGGGGAGCAGCCCAGAGUCUGAAUCAGCUUGUGUGUUAGUGGAACGGUCUGGAAAGUCCGACGGUACAGGGUGAUAGUCCCGUACACCAAAAUGCACAGGUUGUGAACUCGAAGAGUAGGGCGGGACACGUGGUAUCCUGUCUGAAUAUGGGGGGACCAUCCUCCAAGGCUAAAUACUCCUGACUGACCGAUAGUGAACCAGUACCGUGAGGGAAAGGCGAAAAGAACCCCGGCGAGGGGAGUGAAAAAGAACCUGAAACCGUGUACGUACAAGCAGUGGGAGCACCUUCGGGUGUGACUGCGUACCUUUUGUAUAAUGGGUCAGCGACUUAUAUUCUGUAGCAAGGUUAACCGUAUAGGGGAGCCGCAGGGAAACCGAGUCUUAACUGGGCGUUAAGUUGCAGGGUAUAGACCCGAAACCCGGUGAUCUAGCCAUGGGCAGGUUGAAGGUUGGGUAACACUAACUGGAGGACCGAACCGACUAAUGUUGAAAAAUUAGCGGAUGACUUGUGGCUGGGGGUGAAAGGCCAAUCAAACCGGGAGAUAGCUGGUUCUCCCCGAAAGCUAUUUAGGUAGCGCCUCGUGAACUCAUCUUCGGGGGUAGAGCACUGUUUCGGCUAGGGGGUCAUCCCGACUUACCAACCCGAUGCAAACUACGAAUACCGAAGAAUGUUAUCACGGGAGACACACGGCGGGUGCUAACGUCCGUCGUGAAGAGGGAAACAACCCAGACCGCCAGCUAAGGUCCCAAAGUCAUGGUUAAGUGGGAAACGAUGUGGGAAGGCACAGACAGCCAGGAUGUUGGCUUAGAAGCAGCCAUCAUUUAAAGAAAGCGUAAUAGCUCACUGGUCGAGUCGGCCUGCGCGGAAGAUGUAACGGGGCUAAACCAUGCACCGAAGCUGCGGCAGCGACACUAUGUGUUGUUGGGUAGGGGAGCGUUCUGUAAGCCUGCGAAGGUGUGCUGUGAGGCAUGCUGGAGGUAUCAGAAGUGCGAAUGCUGACAUAAGUAACGAUAAAGCGGGUGAAAAGCCCGCUCGCCGGAAGACCAAGGGUUCCUGUCCAACGUUAAUCGGGGCAGGGUGAGUCGACCCCUAAGGCGAGGCCGAAAGGCGUAGUCGAUGGGAAACAGGUUAAUAUUCCUGUACUUGGUGUUACUGCGAAGGGGGGACGGAGAAGGCUAUGUUAGCCGGGCGACGGUUGUCCCGGUUUAAGCAUGUAGGCUGGUUAUCCAGGCAAAUCCGGAUAAUCAAGGCUGAGGUGUGAUGACGAGGCACUACGGUGCUGAAGUAACAAAUGCCCUGCUUCCAGGAAAAGCCUCUAAGCAUCAGGUAACAUUAAAUCGUACCCCAAACCGACACAGGUGGUCAGGUAGAGAAUACCAAGGCGCUUGAGAGAACUCGGGUGAAGGAACUAGGCAAAAUGGUGCCGUAACUUCGGGAGAAGGCACGCUGGUGUGUAGGUGAAGCCCCUGCGGGUGGAGCUGAGACCAGUCGAAGAUACCAGCUGGCUGCAACUGUUUAUUAAAAACACAGCACUGUGCAAACACGAAAGUGGACGUAUACGGUGUGACGCCUGCCCGGUGCCGGAAGGUUAAUUGAUGGGGUUAUCCGUAAGGAGAAGCUCUUGAUCGAAGCCCCGGUAAACGGCGGCCGUAACUAUAACGGUCCUAAGGUAGCGAAAUUCCUUGUCGGGUAAGUUCCGACCUGCACGAAUGGCGUAAUGAUGGCCAGGCUGUCUCCACCCGAGACUCAGUGAAAUUGAACUCGCUGUGAAGAUGCAGUGUACCCGCGGCAAGACGGAAAGACCCCGUGAACCUUUACUAUAGCUUGACACUGAACAUUGAGCCUUGAUGUGUAGGAUAGGUGGGAGGCUUUGAAGCGUGGACGCCAGUCUGCGUGGAGCCAACCUUGAAAUACCACCCUUUAAUGUUUGAUGUUCUAACGUUGGCCCCUGACCGGGGUUGCGGACAGUGUCUGGUGGGUAGUUUGACUGGGGCGGUCUCCUCCCAAAGCGUAACGGAGGAGCACGAAGGUUAGCUAAUCCUGGUCGGACAUCAGGAGGUUAGUGCAAUGGCAUAAGCUAGCUUGACUGCGAGCGUGACGGCGCGAGCAGGUGCGAAAGCAGGUCAUAGUGAUCCGGUGGUUCUGAAUGGAAGGGCCAUCGCUCAACGGAUAAAAGGUACUCCGGGGAUAACAGGCUGAUACCGCCCAAGAGUUCAUAUCGACGGCGGUGUUUGGCACCUCGAUGUCGGCUCAUCACAUCCUGGGGCUGAAGUAGGUCCCAAGGGUAUGGCUGUUCGCCAUUUAAAGUGGUACGCGAGCUGGGUUUAGAACGUCGUGAGACAGUUCGGUCCCUAUCUGCCGUGGGCGCUGGAGAAUUGAGGGGGGCUGCUCCUAGUACGAGAGGACCGGAGUGGACGCAUCACUGGUGUUCGGGUUGUCAUGCCAAUGGCACUGCCCGGUAGCUAAAUGCGGAAGAGAUAAGUGCUGAAAGCAUCUAAGCACGAAACUUGCCCCGAGAUGAGUUCUCCCUGAGACUUUAAGUCUCCUGAAGGAACGUUAAAGACGAUGACGUUGAUAGGCCGGGUGUGUAAGCGCAGCGAUGCGUUGAGCUAACCGGUACUAAUGAACCGUGAGGCUUAACCUU
RNAcentral lists this ribosomal RNA (2900 nucleotides) under Klebsiella pneumoniae. Its description in RNAcentral is "bacterial LSU rRNA". It matches the Rfam family "Bacterial large subunit ribosomal RNA". The record is from RNAcentral. Lineage: Bacteria; Pseudomonadati; Pseudomonadota; Gammaproteobacteria; Enterobacterales; Enterobacteriaceae.